GCUGACGCUGCCGUGGGUGGUGCGCCGGCUCGGGCUCGGCGGCCCGCCAGUUCCACCGCCGGCCGAGGGCGCC
RNAcentral lists this transfer RNA (73 nucleotides) under Urbifossiella limnaea. RNAcentral describes it as "Planctomycetes bacterium ETA_A1 tRNA-Pro". Lineage: Bacteria; Pseudomonadati; Planctomycetota; Planctomycetia; Gemmatales; Gemmataceae. The record is from RNAcentral.